GACGAACGCUGGCGGCGUGCUUAACACAUGCAAGUCGAACGGAAAGGCCCUGCUUUUGUGGGGUUCUCGAUUGGCGAACGGGUGAGUAACACGUGAGUAACCUGCCCUUGACUUUGGGAUAACUUCAGGAAACUGGGGCUAAUACCGGAUAGGAGCUCCUGCUGCAUGUUGGUGUUUGGAAAGUUUCGGCUGUUGGGGAUGGACUCGCGGCUUAUCAGCUUGUUGGUGGGGUAGUGGCUUACCAAGGCUUUGACGGGUAGCCGGCCUGAGAGGGUGACCGGCCACAUUGGGACUGAGAUACGGCCCAGACUCCUACGGGAGGCAGCAGUGGGGAAUAUUGCACAAUGGGAGGAAGCCUGAUGCAGCAACGCCGCGUGCGGGAUGACGGCCUUCGGGUUGUAAACCGCUUUCGAAUGUGACGAAGCGCGAGUGACGGUAAUGGGUAAAGAAGCACCGGCUAACUACGUG
This 468-nucleotide ribosomal RNA is filed under the name uncultured bacterium. RNAcentral describes it as "partial 16S ribosomal RNA". It matches the Rfam family "Bacterial small subunit ribosomal RNA", at positions 28 to 507 of the family's 1533-position model. The record is from RNAcentral.